This 483-nucleotide ribosomal RNA is filed under the name uncultured bacterium. Its description in RNAcentral is "partial 16S ribosomal RNA". It matches the Rfam family "Bacterial small subunit ribosomal RNA", at positions 29 to 523 of the family's 1533-position model. The record is from RNAcentral.
AAUGAACGUUGGCGGCAUGGAUUAGGCAUGCAAGUCGAGCGAGAACCGUAGCAAUACGGGGACAGCGGCGAAAGGGAGAGUAAUGUGUGGAUAUCUACCUCCAGGCCUGGGACAACUACGGGAAACUGUAGCUAAUACCAGAUAAUGUCUGCGGACCAAAGGUGUGAUUCCUCCGGGAGAUGAGUCCACAUCCUAUUAGCUAGUUGGUAGGGUAAUGGCCUACCAAGGCAAUGAUGGGUAGCAGGUGUGAGAGCACGACCUGCCUCAUUGGGACUGAGACACUGCCCAGACACCUACGGGUGGCUGCAGUCGAGAAUCUUCGGCAAUGGGCGCAAGCCUGACCGAGCGAUGCCGCGUGCGGGAUGAAGGCCUUCGGGUUGUAAACCGCUGUCAGAGGGGAUGAAAUACGUCGGGGGUUCUCCCCCGGGUUUGACAUAUCCUCAGAGGAAGGACGGGCUAAGUUCGUGCCAGCCGCCGCGGUAA